CCCGGCGAUGUCAGGCCAGGGGGUCUGGCUGCGAGCCCGGGAGCGGCUGCGGCGCUUCCCCGAGCUGCUGGCGGGAUGUCGGGACCAGGCAAAGACGACAAUGAAGUGAAGGCAUUGGUAACAACGCAGGGGACUGGGAUCUAGAUUUACAGUCCUGACUGGUGUCUGUCCAGCUGUAAUCAGAUAGUUCCAGGACAGAAGAAUUUGCAUAAUCUAAAUUAAAUCAGAAGGAAAUGGGAGCCUAAUAAUGGAAUACUCAAUUCUAUUUCAUGCAACCUCUUCCCCCAGCUGUUUCAAACAAUGCAUGGUAAUAAAUGUUUGGAAACUUUUUUUAAAUAAAACUCCAAAAUCCGAGUCAGUGUUUUAAGACCUACUCUUUAUUCUACAGUUUAACUAGGCAGUCUGGAAAGGGUAGCAAAAACUGCACUAAAACUAAGCUUCUAUUCUAAUGAGUGGCUACACUCCCUUUGUUUGCUGCGGUACAUUUAGCCUACUCUGGGAUGGCCCUAUUGUUAUAGAGCUAGCGUUUGUCAUGUGGCUUUCCUGAGAAUUUAGGAUUCCAUCUCCCCUUCCCACAGGGUCCUAGGAACUGCUAGGGUGAGCAGAAAUGCAGAAUAGGUCACUUGAGAGAGGGUUCUGCUCUAGCUCACAGGAUUUCAUUAUCUCUGCCCAUAUUAUGACUAAUGCUUAAGUUCAGCUAAAGCCAUGGUAUGCUAAAGAGCUGCCCCACUACAGCUGGGAACCUUGCUGCUAAACCUCCACUUCCCAUGUGAAUACAGGCUUUCAGAUUGCAGCUUUGAAACCUAAGCACUGAAACUGCUAAGAAGAGGGAAGAAAUGGGCCAAGGUUACAGACCACGUCUGAGCUCUGCCUAAGCGGUUGGCAGAGCUCCUUAUCCUAGUGGCUCAUGUUAACCUCAAGGCUGCCGGGGCCCUCCCAGUAGUGCAAGGACAUUGGUUAAGUUUAGCGGAUUAACCACAGGGCUAGGGAGGAAAUGCUGGGUAUGAGGAUGAGCAAAUCCAAGCUGCAGCUUGAUAGAGGGUAGGAAGGUGCUAGCUAAUGAAAAGCACUCAGAUAAGAGCAGGUAUGAUCCUUGUCACUGCUUGGGGUGUGUGCACCCCCCUUUACACUGCUGUCACCCUGAAGCUAAAGAAUCAAAGUGGCAUUUCAUGAAAUCUCCCAUUUGGGGGGACACGGAGACCCUCACUGCUCUUUUCUCCACACACUAGCUGCAGCAAUGGCAGGGGGGGAUGCAGAAUGAGCAGAGUUUCCUUAAGGAUACAUUUAGGGCUUCAUUUGCAUCACUCCCGUCCCAUCCUGGACAGCAGGAACCACCCCCCAACAGCUGAGAGCAGCUUAACAGUGCUUGUUACAGCAAGAAGAGUUCAGAUCAAAAUGCUUUAACUUAUUUUAUUGAUUUGCCUGGCAUGGCCAGUCCUCAGCCUUUCCCUGAACACUGCAGAUACAAGCUGGUCCUAGCAUGGAGAAGUAAGAAGUUCCCUGUGUUUGUCCAGCUGGGAAUGUCUCAUUCACAACACUGGCCAAUUCCAGGUGCUGAGGAAUGUCAGAAUUAUCUUUUGUCCCUUUGUGGGCAGCAGGCACCUCAGCAGCAGCACGUAGUCACCCUAAACUGCUGCUCACAUGGUGUACGAGAAACAGUUUUCCCCAUGCCAGGCAGGAUCGCAACACGAAGCUGACGGGGCCAGGGGAGAUCUCUGUACACACAUUAGGUGCAAGCUGGGCUGAAGGGGGGUGCACAGGGAGUACUUAGUUCCCGCACCCAGAGCUCCCUUAUAGCUUUAAAGGGCUAGUUCUUGCUGCAGGGGGCAGAAUUUAGAUUUGGCCACUAGCAGAGGAGACUGUUGCACUGAAAGCAUGUGUGUGACCUUCACAAACACUAACAAUCACACAGAGGCUGUUCUAGGGCCUCCUGCCCCAGAGCAGACAUUACAAGAGUCCCAGAUACGGGUUAAUUGUGCUUUGAGACAGGGUCACGGGGGACUCUGGCUAUGGCAAUCCCAUCUACAACAGCCACCCUGGGAUGCAUGUGAACGCCCCCCUGAUGAUGUACAGCUGCCACAGACAUUUAAGCACUUCAAUAAUCAGCUGACUUUACAGACAGUCCUAAUACUGUUCUUCCCUUCUAGGAGCUGAGAGUUCUCUAGUCUGAAGGCAGAGUCAUUGCCCUCAGUGCCUCUCUCUCCAGCCCCCAUCACAGCAGUUACAUAGUUCCUGCCUCCAGGAGGUUGAUCUGAUAUGAACUAGAUGAGGCUGGGUUACCAGAGGACUCCAGUUUAAAAAGCCAGACAAAACCCAACACUGCUGAGGGCUAUAGGCUCCUGGUAGGGUGAAUGUCAAUCAAUCUAGUGAAAGCUGGGGGAUUUUUUUCUUGCAUUUGGCAAUCAAGGU
Molecule: long non-coding RNA, 2409 nt
Organism: Chelonoidis abingdonii (Abingdon island giant tortoise)
Lineage: Eukaryota; Metazoa; Chordata; Testudines; Testudinidae
Source: RefSeq, a predicted model, not a curated record